Long non-coding RNA from Aegilops tauschii subsp. strangulata, 355 nucleotides. RefSeq lists it as uncharacterized. Lineage: Eukaryota; Viridiplantae; Streptophyta; Magnoliopsida; Poales; Poaceae. The record is from RefSeq and is a predicted model, not a curated record.
GCACUACUAUAGCAACUCAAUCCUAGUGCCAAUUUUGUAACAAGAAAUGGGGAGCACAUCCGUUCUAUUCCUCGCAUUUUCCCUCCUGAUGUUAUCGUCAGCUAUGGUAACUUCUAAGCCCGUAUGCAAACAUAUCAUCAAAAAGGGCACAUAUAAGAACGACGAUUGUCUAUCUUAUUACAAGCAGUUCAUCUCCCCUCCCGGUGGCCCAUCUGCCAUGUGUGUACCUGAGGGAUGCCAGUGUUAUCAGUGCGGAGGAUUUCCUCCAAACUGGUCAUCUAGCUAAUAGAAUAUACAUGGAUGCAUCACAGUUGCUUGAGUGAUGAAUAAUAAUAAUUCGAGUAAUCUAGCAUAA